This 668-nucleotide ribosomal RNA is filed under the name Notoacmea elongata. Its description in RNAcentral is "partial 16S ribosomal RNA". It matches the Rfam family "Bacterial large subunit ribosomal RNA", at positions 1851 to 2586 of the family's 2925-position model. The record is from RNAcentral. Lineage: Eukaryota; Metazoa; Mollusca; Gastropoda; Acmaeidae.
GGUCAUACCUGCACAAUGCCUCGAGGGGUCAAUUGCCGCGGUAACCUGACCGUGCUAAGGUAGCGUAAUCAAUAGCCUGUUAAUUGCUGGCCUGUAUCAAUGGUCUCACGCUGGCGGCGCUGUCUCUUCGGUACUUAUUCGAAUUUAACCUGAGGGUGAAAAGGCCCUAAUAAAACUGAAAGACGAUUAGACCCUAUCGAACUUUGGGUAGACUGUUCUGCUAAGGGGUAAUGCCCAUGACAAACAGAAAACCUUUGGUUGGGGAAACCGGGAGCCAUAAAAAACGCUCACCCCCCGCCUACACUUACUACGAGCAACUUUUUUGGGGCUUUAUGUGUGUAUAGAGCUCUACAGACAUAAAGGCUCAAGAUGGGCUCUUACCUGAAUUGCCCAGAAGGGAAACCUAAUUUUUAGAGUUAAAAGAAAAUGACAGUACACAGCUGGCUUAUAUAAUGAACCCAACACAUGCCCUCUAAGGGCCCGGCGUCGGGCCCUAGAACUUGACGCUGGGCCCUUCUGGCAUACCGUUGCGGAUAGGGAAGAGUUACCGUAGGGAUAACAGCGUAAUCCUUCCGGCGAGACCACAUUAAGGGAGGGGUUUGCGACCUCGAUGUUGGCUUAGGGCGACCUGGAAGUGCAGGGGCUUCCAAGGGUUGGUCUGUUCGACC